RNAcentral lists this small RNA (99 nucleotides) under Marmota monax (woodchuck). Lineage: Eukaryota; Metazoa; Chordata; Mammalia; Rodentia; Sciuridae. The record is from RNAcentral.
GCUGGGCAUGGUGGGGCAUGCCUGUAAUCCCAGCUUCCUAGGAGGUUGAAGCAGGAAGGAUUGUAAGUUUGAGGCCAACCUAGAGAAGUUCUGUCUCAA